GAGUUUGAUCCUGGCUCAGGAUGAACGCUAGCGGCAGGCUUAACACAUGCAAGUCGAGGGGUAACAGGGAUUGCUUGCAAUCCGCUGACGACCGGCGCACGGGUGCGUAACGCGUAUGCAACCUACCUUCUACAGGGGGAUAGUCAAUAGAAAUGUUGAAUAAUACCCCAUACGAUCUUCAGAUAGCCUUAUUUGGAGAAGAAAGUUCCGGCGGCAGAAGAUGGGCAUGCGUCCUAUUAGUUAGUUGGAGAGGUAACGGCUCCCCAAGACAUCGAUAGGUAGGGGUCCUGAGAGGGAGACCCCCCACACUGGUACUGAGACACGGACCAGACUCCUACGGGAGGCAGCAGUGAGGAAUAUUGGACAAUGGAGGCAACUCUGAUCCAGCCAUGCCGCGUGCAGGAAGACUGCCCUAUGGGUUGUAAACUGCUUUUAUACAGGAAGAAAUGUACCUACGUGUAGGUAUUUGACGGUACUGUACGAAUAAGGAUCGGCUAACUCCGUGCCAGCAGCCGCGGUAAUACGGAGGAUCCAAGCGUUAUCCGGAAUCAUUGGGUUUAAAGGGUCCGUAGGCGGUCUUUUAAGUCAGAGGUGAAAUCCUACAGCUCAACUGUAGAAUUGCCUUUGAUACUGAAAGACUUGAGUUAUUGUGAAGUAGUUAGAAUGUGUGGUGUAGCGGUGAAAUGCAUAGAGAUCACACAGAAUACCGAUUGCGAAGGCAGAUUACUAACAAUAUACUGACGCUGAGGGACGAAAGCGUGGGUAGCGAACAGGAUUAGAUACCCUGGUAGUCCACGCCGUAAACGAUGGAUACUAGCUGUUCGACCAACAUUGGUUGGUUGAGUGGCUAAGCGAAAGUGAUAAGUAUCCCACCUGGGGAGUACGGCCGCAAGACUGAAACUCAAAGGAAUUGACGGGGGCCCGCGCUAGCGGUGGAGCAUGUGGUUUAAUUCGAUGAUACGCGAGGAACCUUACCAGGGCUUAAAUGUAAGUUGCAUGAUUUAGAGAUAGAUCUUUNUUCGGACUACUUACAAGGUGCUGCAUGGUUGUCGUCAGCUCGUGCCGUGAGGUGUCAGGUUAAGUCCUAUAACGAGCGCAACCCCUGUCGUUAGUUGCCAGCAAGUUAAGUUGGGCACUCUAGCGAGACUGCCAGUGCAAACUGUGAGGAAGGUGGGGAUGACGUCAAAUCAUCACGGCCCUUACGUCCUGGGCUACACACGUGCUACAAUGGUCGGUACAGAGAGCGGCCACUACGCGAGUAGGAGCGAAUCUAUAAAACCGAUCUCAGUUCGGAUCGCAGUCUGCAACUCGACUGCGUGAAGCUGGAAUCGCUAGUAAUCGGAUAUCAGCCAUGAUCCGGUGAAUACGUUCCCGGGCCUUGUACUCACCGCCCGUC
Molecule: ribosomal RNA, 1396 nt
Filed under: uncultured marine bacterium
Lineage: Bacteria
Description: bacterial SSU rRNA
Rfam family: Bacterial small subunit ribosomal RNA
Source: RNAcentral